RNAcentral lists this ribosomal RNA (444 nucleotides) under uncultured soil bacterium. RNAcentral describes it as "bacterial SSU rRNA". It matches the Rfam family "Bacterial small subunit ribosomal RNA", at positions 26 to 518 of the family's 1533-position model. The record is from RNAcentral.
AGAACGAACGCUGGCGGCAUGCCUAACACAUGCAAGUCGAACGAGACCUUCGGGUCUAGUGGCGCACGGGUGCGUAACGCGUGGGAAUCUACCCUUGGGUUCGGAAUAACAGUUGGAAACGACUGCUAAUACCGGAUGAUGACGUAAGUCCAAAGAUUUAUCGCCCAGGGAUGAGCCCGCGUAGGAUUAGCUAGUUGGUGAGGUAAAGGCUCACCAAGGCGACGAUCCUUAGCUGGUCUGAGAGGAUGAUCAGCCACACUGGGACUGAGACACGGCCCAGACUCCUACGGGAGGCAGCAGUGGGGAAUAUUGGACAAUGGGCGAAAGCCUGAUCCAGCAAUGCCGCGUGAGUGAUGAAGGCCUUAGGUUGUAAAGCUCUUUUACCCGGGAAGAUAAUGACUGUACCGGAGAAUAAGCUCCGGCUAACUCCGUGCCAGCAGCCGC